This 24-nucleotide non-coding RNA is filed under the name Cricetulus griseus (Chinese hamster). The record is from RNAcentral. Lineage: Eukaryota; Metazoa; Chordata; Mammalia; Rodentia; Cricetidae.
GACAUUGUGUGGAAUGGCUGAAUG